CACCCGGAGCAGAUGAAGAUGCAGGCGGAGGAGAGCAGCUNCGGGAUGGCGCGCCAGUCCCAGCCGGGCCCCAGCUCGACGUCCCAGUCGCCGACCCUCGCCGCCGAUCCGCCGCCGCGUGCCGCCGCCAUGGCGCCCGGCUGCUCCGUUCGGGCUGGAAUUGGAGUGUGAAUGGGAAUGGGAAUGGGAACGGAAUCGGAUCGGAUUCCAGCGAGCCACCGACCGCGGCGAUUUAUGAGGGAUGGGCGCGGCGGGGCGCGCGUAUUGGGAUAAGGGAGGG
RNAcentral lists this long non-coding RNA (280 nucleotides) under Hordeum vulgare. RNAcentral describes it as "long non-coding RNA (HVUL_LNC021459)". Lineage: Eukaryota; Viridiplantae; Streptophyta; Magnoliopsida; Poales; Poaceae. The record is from RNAcentral.